CCAAUAGCGUAUAUUAAAGUUGUUGCAGUUAAAAAGCUCGUAGUUGAAUUUCGGGAUCGAAUUGUUGGUCGUGCUUCGGUACGCACUGGCAUUAUCGGUUCCUACCUUCUGAAGAACCGCGAUGUCAUUAAUUUGGUGUCGUGGGGAAUCAGGACUGUUACUUUGAAAAAAUUAGAGUGUUUAAAGCAGGCUUAUGCUUGAAUACAUUAGCAUGGAAUAAUGAAAUAGGACGUUUGAUUCUAUUUUGUUGGUUUCUAGGAUCGACGUAAUGAUUAAUAGGGAUAGUUGGGGGCAUUAGUAUUCAAUUGUCAGAGGUGAAAUUCUUGGAUUUAUUGAAGACUAACUACUGCGAAAGCAUUUGCCAAGGAUGUUUUCAUUAAUCAAGAACGAAAGUUAGGGGAUCGAAGACGAUCAGAUACCGUCGUAGUCUUAACCAUAAACUAUGCCGACUAGGGAUCGGAUGAUGUUAAUUUUAUAAUGACUCAUUCGGCGCCUUACG
RNAcentral lists this unclassified non-coding RNA (499 nucleotides) under uncultured Glomus. Its description in RNAcentral is "SSU rRNA". It matches the Rfam family "Eukaryotic small subunit ribosomal RNA", at positions 591 to 1092 of the family's 1831-position model. Lineage: Eukaryota; Fungi; Glomeromycota; Glomeromycetes; Glomerales; Glomeraceae. The record is from RNAcentral.